This 2574-nucleotide long non-coding RNA is filed under the name Struthio camelus australis. RNAcentral describes it as "lncRNA (ENSSCUG00000002244.1)". The record is from RNAcentral. Lineage: Eukaryota; Metazoa; Chordata; Aves; Struthioniformes; Struthionidae.
UAAAGCUGUCUUAAAACAUUUUUCUCAGAAAAUGACAGUCAAAGUGACCACUUUUGACUGCUUUUCUUUUUUAGGGUGGGGAAUGGUUUCUUAGCUUGGGGAUGGAAAGUCUGGCAUGGGAUCAUGAUCGAUAGAUCAAACUCCUGAGAGUCUGAGCAAGUCAGAGAUCCAUCUAUAAAUCCUAUAGGUGCAUAUCUGCACCUCUUCUGGCAGAAGAUAAAGGCUGUUUCCAGCUAUGUAAUGUUUUUCGAUCACAUGACAUGGAAAUUGACCAGUGUUUGCUGGAGUCCCUCCCUCUCGGCCAGCGGCAGCGGCUGGUGAAGCGCAUGCGCUGUGAUCAAAUAAAGGCGUACUAUGAACGAGAGAAGGCUUUGCAGAAACGGGAAGGUUAUGCCCAAAAACUGAAACAUGGAAAGAAUCACCGAGUCCGUUUCAAUCUUGCUGAUAUGAUACAGGAUGCGAUCGUACAUCAUGAUGAUAAAGAAGUGCUACGGCUAUUGAAGGAUGGUGCCGACCCUCAUACAUUCAUUUCCUCAGGAGGCUCCUUGCUCCAUCUGUGUGCCCGCUAUGAUAAUGCAUUUGCUGCAGAAAUUCUAAUUGACAGAGGAGUAAAUGUAAAUCAUCAGGACGAGGAUUUUUGGACCUCAAUGCACGUAGCCUGUGCAUGUGAUAAUCCUGAUAUUGUCCUGCUACUGCUACUAGCUGGAGCAAAUGUGCUGCUGCAAGAUGUUAAUGGAAACAUUGCACUUGAUUAUGCCAUAGAAGGGACUGAAUCCAGCAGCAUCCUUCUGAUGUACUUGGAAGAAAAUGGUGUAGAUCUGAAUUCGUUGCGCCAAAUGAAGAUACAGAGACCUAUGACAAUGCUUACAGAUGUCCGACAACUCAUAUCAAGUGGAGGAAGUGUGAAUCAAAAGAAUGAUGAAGGAGUUACACUGCUUCACAUGGCCUGUGCAAAUGGAUACAGGAAUGUGGCGUCUCUGAUCCUGGAUCAUGGGGCUGAUCUCAAUGCAGUGGAUAAUCAGUACUGGACACCUCUUCAUUUAGCUGCAAAGUAUGGGCAGACAAACCUUGUGAAGCUGCUUUUGAUGCACUGGGCAAAUCCCAAUCUUCUUAACUGCAAUAAUGAAAAGCCUUCAGAUAUUGCAGCUUCUGAGUUUAUUGAGGAAAUGCUUCUAAAGGCUGAAAUUGUCUGGGAGGAAAAAAUGAAAGACCCUUUAUCUGUUUCUACUUUAUCUCAAGAAGAGCCAUAUGAAGAGAUCAUCCAUGAUCUGCCCACACUUUCCAAUAAACUCAAUCCCCUGGCUUUACCGAUUGCCAAGCAAGACAGUUUGCUGGAGAAAGACACCAUGUUUAAAGAUGCAGCUAAAGGUUUGUGUAAGCAGCAAUCUCAAGACAGUGCAUCUGAAAAUGUCGCAGUGAACAGUACAAGCAAACUUGAACAGAUCAAGCUAAUGCCUCCAGCUCCGAAUGAUGACCUGGCUUCUUUGAGUGAGCUAACAGACAGCAGCCUGCUUUAUGAGAUCCAAAAGCGUUUCAAUAAUAAUCAGAUAUAUACCUACAUUGGUGAUAUACUGCUGCUUGUUAACCCAUUUAAAGAACUUCCUAUUUAUUCUACUAUGGUCACUCAACUUUACUUAAGCAACUCUGGAAAACUGUGUUCCUCGCUUCCUCCACAUAUAUUUUCCUGUGCCGAAAGAGCUUACCACAUGCUAUUCCAGGAGCAGCGUCCCCAGUGCUUUAUCCUCAGUGGAGAAAGUGGUUCUGGAAAGACAGAAGCCUGCAAACAGAUAGUGAAGCACCUCACUUGCAGAGCCAGCUCCAGCGGAAAUACCUUUGAUACCAAGAUAAAACAUGUAAACUGUAUCUUGGAGGCCUUUGGACAUGCUAAGACACCCCUGAAUGAUUUGACCAGCUGUUUUAUAAAAUAUUUUGAGCUGCAGUUUUGUGAGAAGAAAAAAACGUUAUCUGGAGCUAGGAUUUAUACGUACAUGUUGGAGAAGUCUCGUGUCAUUAUGCAACCUCUCAACCAGAGCAAUUUUCAUGUGUUUUAUUUGAUGAUGGAUGGGCUGUCUGCUGAAGAAAAGUACGCGUUGUACCUCAGUAAUUUGUCUGCACACAGGUAUCUAAGCCAGAGCGUACUGGAAGACACGAUGGUAACAGGCAACCCUCAAAACAGGGAGAAAUUAGCUGUGCUAAAACAAGCUCUAAAUGCUGUGGGAUUCAAUAGCCUGGAGGUGGAGAACCUGUUUGUAAUUCUCUCUGCAAUCCUGCAUCUUGGGGACAUCCGGUUUACUGCUCUGACAGACGCUGAGACAGCAUUCGUGUCGGACCUGCAGCUACUGGAACAAGGUCGGUAGGACGCGGCCUUGGAGCAUCGUCUGCUUGGUCGCACAGCAGGGCUGUUUCGCUGAUCCGCCGACAGAUGGAAACACCGUUCCAGCGAGACAGACAGCCGCGUUCGCAAGUCUCAUCAGUUACUGUGGGAAGACAGUAUCCAGUUGACUUAGAUAUUUUAUAAACUACAGAUUUUUAUGGGACUAAAUAAAAUGCCAUUACGGCAAAUUAUCUAAUUCA